AUACGGAGGGUGCAAGCGUUAUCCGGAUUCAUUGGGUUUAAAGGGUGCGCAGGCGGACUUGUAAGUCAGUGGUGAAAUCCCGGGGCUCAACCUCGGAACUGCCAUUGAUACUGCAAGUCUUGAGUUUGCUUGAAGUGGGCGGAAUGUAGCAUGUAGCGGUGAAAUGCAUAGAUAUGCUACAGAACACCGAUCGCGAAGGCAGCUCACUAAACCAACACUGACGCUCAGGCACGAAAGCGUGGGGAGCGAACAGAAUUAGAAACCCGAGUAGUCC
This 274-nucleotide ribosomal RNA is filed under the name uncultured bacterium. RNAcentral describes it as "partial 16S ribosomal RNA". It matches the Rfam family "Bacterial small subunit ribosomal RNA", at positions 523 to 796 of the family's 1533-position model. The record is from RNAcentral.